GGGCUAGGUUACAAGGCAGGACAAAAAAGUUAGAAAUAAAGAAAGAUAAAGGAAAUUGUAUGGUCAAAGAGUUGCAGAAGUCAAGAGGCAGCUUUGCAAAACUAUUAGAGCUCUGAGUCCUACCCAUUCAGGAAGUCGGUUGCAGAAGGACAGGAACUGGCAGCAAAGACUACUUUUGAGGAGCCUGUUAUACUACGCUAAGAAUUUCACACACCUGCCUUUAGGAAGAAGAGCACCAUCAAAGACUUAUCAAGCAGAAGAUGAAGCCAAGUGAGUGGGACAGAAACUCAAGAGUCCAAAGCUGGCACAGUGGAAAGGCAACAGACACUGAGCACAGCUUAGAGAAAAUACUAACAAAGACAAAGAAGAAAAGGGAGAGAGAAGAAAGAAGACUAAAAGAUAGGCCACAGCUUAUCAAGGACAAUGGCAAGGUGGUAUCAAGGUAUGGCUCUGGAUUAGGAUACAGAGUCACAGAGAUGGGUUCUAUUAUGGCUUGUGUCUACAUGCCACCCACCAAACCUCAAGUGGUCAUUGGUAGGGGAGGUAGCAGGAUCUAGAGUGUGUGUCGCUAGAAUUGAUUUAUAGUGCAAAGCUAUGCUCAAGGACACUAGGAUUAAGGGUUUGAGUGCUACCCACCCUAAGUCUGAAUAAAAUAAAAGGGGCAGAAAGAUGCUAUUAAGGACUCUUUUUCCUUUAAUACUGUCUGUAGGCCAUGAACUGUUGUCCCUCUGCCACCCUGCCUUGGAGCUAGCUGAUUAUGCACAGAAACCUCUACAAACUAUAAGCCAAAUAAACCUUUCCCUUUAAUUUUAGUUUGUCCCAGCAACCAGAGAAAAGUAACUAAGAUAGGUUCUUAUUUCACCCUAACAUUUUUCUGGCUUGAGAAAGUCAUUUCACUUCUCUGAGCAUCACUUUACACACCUGUAACAUGGGAAUAAUAUGAGUGGGCACUUCACAAACCUGUUGUUAGAUUGAAAAAUGGAACCAAAAUCCUUAACACAUUAUAAUUAUUCAUAUUUUAACUAAUGAAAAAUAUCCUACAAAAUAUAGCCUACACUUAUUAAUAGGCAAGCACAUGACUCCAGAGUUCAAUGUUAAGAACCAAAGAUCACCCAUGUAUCCUGCUGUUGAAC
RNAcentral lists this long non-coding RNA (1133 nucleotides) under Fukomys damarensis (Damara mole-rat). RNAcentral describes it as "lncRNA (ENSFDAG00000022600.1)". The record is from RNAcentral. Lineage: Eukaryota; Metazoa; Chordata; Mammalia; Rodentia; Bathyergidae.